This 73-nucleotide transfer RNA is filed under the name Trachymyrmex septentrionalis. It matches the Rfam family "tRNA". Rfam says of the family: Transfer RNA (tRNA) molecules are approximately 80 nucleotides in length. Their secondary structure includes four short double-helical elements and three loops (D, anti-codon, and T loops). The record is from Rfam by way of RNAcentral. Lineage: Eukaryota; Metazoa; Arthropoda; Insecta; Hymenoptera; Formicidae.
GUCUCAGUAGUCUAAAGGCUUAGGAUACUUGCACGGAAUGCAAGAGAUCCGGGUUCGACUCUCGGCCGAGGCA